CGGGCAGCCGCAGCAGCAGCAGCUCCAGGCGCCGCGCCAGGUAGCGCCUUCGCCGCCGGAGCUUGCGCGCCCCUUCGGGAGCUCAGCCGGCAGCAGGACCAUAGCCUCAGAAUACCCACCCUUUUUUGCCCACAAUUCAGAAGAGGAGGGGUUGACAAUCAACACAGUCUGCUACUUCAUACAUACUUUCAAUCUACAUGGAAUUUUACUCUUGCCAUGCCUCACACACUUAUUUCCUGCUGUGAAGAUACAAGAUGUGGAUUCACUGAUGCAAUGAUGCCAAAUUCUGACUAGCAAAAACAGGAAGGUGGCAGUCUAUGCCACACAACACACAAGCGAUUCUUCAGUACAUAAGAGGUCAUUAACAGCCAGCUGUGCGGUUCUUCUCAGUUUGAUUGGUAUGCAUCAUCAAUACAAAAAUAAAUCACCAUCAACAACAUGCUGUUAUGUAAAGAUCUCAGAGAGCUGCCUGAAGAAUGGAUAAGUUCUGUCAUGCCCACAAAUUAGGACAGCAAAACAAACAAGGCCAGUCUGUUUCCUCGUGGAAUUUCCAUUAAGAUGAGUAUUGUCUCUAAAUAGCCAAAUCCUAAAACUUGAUGUGCCAGCAUAUGUCCAUAAAAUAACAACAAAUACUUUAGUAGCAUGCAGUAAACCAUGAAUGUGCAACAAACCAGAGCAGGAGCACAAUAUUUUAAUACUACAAGUAAUGCAAGGUUACUAGUUUACACAAAUGUUGUCAAUGAUUUCUCUGUGAAGUACAACCUACAGUAUUGUUCUACAGACAAGAGAUGCUGAAACACUUCUACUUAAGUGAUAAAUGCUAAGCAAACAAUAUUAUUAAAUUUCUUA
Sphaerodactylus townsendi is the source of this 849-nucleotide long non-coding RNA. RefSeq lists it as uncharacterized. NCBI's taxonomy places the organism in Eukaryota, Metazoa, Chordata, Lepidosauria, Squamata, Sphaerodactylidae. The record is from RefSeq and is a predicted model, not a curated record. The transcript has 4 exons.